Long non-coding RNA from Bubalus bubalis (water buffalo), 466 nucleotides. RefSeq lists it as uncharacterized. The transcript has 4 exons. NCBI's taxonomy places the organism in Eukaryota, Metazoa, Chordata, Mammalia, Artiodactyla, Bovidae. The record is from RefSeq and is a predicted model, not a curated record.
CACACAUCUGCAGGGGAAAAAAUAGCUCACCAUUGCAUUUACUCAGGCGCAGCCUUUUCUGGCAGCCUCUGGGCCACUUCAGAUUGAUCCAACACUUGGAAUUUGCCACCACCAGUCAGUCAAGUAGUCAGUGAUCUGCAGACCCUCACAACGCACUAAGGAAGUCUGCUAUUCACACGGGCCUUUAAUGCAAUACUCCAGGGGUUAGGAGGCAUUAUUUCUUUGCUCUGUGAUGUCUCUCUGUGUGCUCUGGAACAACAGAAGGCAAUUCCUGUAGGGCAGCACUGGUCUUUAUUUAUUUUUUAUCCUGGACACCUAACAGUGGAUGGAUGAAUCGUGAUGUGCUAAACUGGUUCCCUGUUGCAGCUGGACUAGUAACUUUGCUUCUAAAUCAGAGCCACUACAAUUCAGAGUGAUGGAUCAAAGAUAAAACCUGCUUUGUAACACGGGGUAUAUUGCUAUUUCU